GGGCCGUUAGCUCAGUUGGUAGAGCAGCUGACUCUUAAUCAGCGGGUCGUUGGUUCAAUUCCAACACGGCCCACCA
RNAcentral lists this transfer RNA (76 nucleotides) under Candidatus Methylomirabilis limnetica. Its description in RNAcentral is "tRNA-Lys". It matches the Rfam family "tRNA". From Rfam's summary of the family: Transfer RNA (tRNA) molecules are approximately 80 nucleotides in length. The record is from RNAcentral. Lineage: Bacteria; Methylomirabilota (SeqCode); Methylomirabilia (SeqCode); Methylomirabilales (SeqCode); Methylomirabilaceae (SeqCode).